Vicia faba (fava bean) is the source of this 204-nucleotide non-coding RNA. The record is from the annotation of a GenBank genome assembly. NCBI's taxonomy places the organism in Eukaryota, Viridiplantae, Streptophyta, Magnoliopsida, Fabales, Fabaceae.
AUGUUUUUACCAUGUCCUUUUUCUUGUCUUUCUCUUACUAUUAUUUCUCACUAUUUAUUCACAACAUUGCAAAUUCAUGGAUACCCACCUUCUCUUCUCUUCCUCAUAGAGUCAAACCCUUAUUCAUCUUCUUCCGCCUCCCACUUCAACCCUUUACAUCACUCUCAAAACCUGCAUCAUAAUCAUCUUCUUCAGGAAAACUAA